GAUGAACGCUGGCGGCGUGCCUAAUACAUGCAAGUCGAGCGAACGGACGAGAAGCUUGCUUCUCUGCUGUUAGCGGCGGACGGGUGAGUAACACGUGGAUAACUUACCUAUAAGACUGGGAUAACUUCGGGAAACCGUAGCUAAUACCGGAUAAUAUUUUGAACCGCAUGGUUCAAAAGUGAAAGACGGUCUUGCUGUCACUUAUAGAUGGAUCCGCGCUGCAUUAGCUAGUUGGUAAGGUAACGGCUUACCAAGGCAACGAUGCAUAGCCGACCUGAGAGGAUGAUCAGCCACACUGGUACUGAGACACGGUCCAGACUCCUACGGGAGGCAGCAGUAGGGAAUCUUGCACAAUGGGCGAAAGCCUGACCGAGCAACGCCGCGUGAGUGAUGAAGGUCUUCGGAUCGAAAAGCUCUGUUAUUAGGGAGGAACGUAUGUGAGUGUAACUCUGCACGUCUUGACGGUACCAAAACAGUAAGCCCCGGCUAACUACGUG
Molecule: ribosomal RNA, 497 nt
Filed under: uncultured bacterium
Lineage: Bacteria
Description: partial 16S ribosomal RNA
Rfam family: Bacterial small subunit ribosomal RNA
Source: RNAcentral